UACGGGGGGAGCAAGCGUUGUUCGGAUUUACUGGGCGUAAAGGGCGCGUAGGCGGUCGUGACAAGUCACUUGUGAAAUCUCCGGGCUUAACUCGGAACGGUCAAGUGAUACUGUCGGACUAGAGUACAGAAGGGGCAACUGGAAUUCUCGGUGUAGCGGUGAAAUGCGUAGAUAUCGAGAGGAACACCUGAGGUGAAGACGGGUUGCUGGGCCGACACUGACGCUGAGUGCGCGAAAGCCAGGGGAGCAAACGGG
RNAcentral lists this ribosomal RNA (255 nucleotides) under uncultured bacterium. RNAcentral's name for it is "partial 16S ribosomal RNA". It matches the Rfam family "Bacterial small subunit ribosomal RNA", at positions 524 to 776 of the family's 1533-position model. The record is from RNAcentral.